GACUUGCAGGGUGGCAUUUCCAACAUUUUGGAGGAACUGGUUGUCCAGCCUCUGUUGGUUUCAGUGAGUGCUUUGACCCUAGCAACUGAAACUGUUCGGAGCAUUCUGAAAAUUGAUGAUGUGGUAAACACGCGAUAAUCUGGAUAACUGGUUGACUGGCAUCAUAAUGGCCACCAGUACUUCGGCUACUGUGGAAGAUGAUUGCCUUGGUGGUCCUUAUUGUUUGGAAGAUUGUUUCCUCUAUGAAUUCCCGAGCUUGGUCUUCCAGUUGGCAUUUGUUUGAAAUUGUAUUGAAACAAUUCAAUGAAAAUAUUAAAUAUUUGGUUUGAAAAGGCAGAUUAAUUUAUCUCCUCCCCAACAUUCUUUUAUUUCUGAUUCUUUUGAAAAACUUAGAA
Molecule: long non-coding RNA, 395 nt
Organism: Propithecus coquereli (Coquerel's sifaka)
Lineage: Eukaryota; Metazoa; Chordata; Mammalia; Primates; Indriidae
Exons: 2
Source: RefSeq, a predicted model, not a curated record